GGGCUCAUCUGGGUUUUCCUUGUUGCUGUUUUAAGAGGUGUCCAGGGUGAGGUGCAGCUGGUGGAGUCUGGGGGAGCCGUGGUGAAGCCUGGGGGGUCUCUGAGACUCUCCUGUGCAGCCUCUGGAUUCACCUUCAUAGCUUUGGAAUGAACUGGGUCCGCCAGGCUCCAGGGAAGGGGCUGGAGUGGGUGGCAGUAAUAUGGUACGAUGGAAGUCAGAAGUACUAUGCAGACUCUGUGAAGGGCCGAUUCACCAUCUCCAGAGACAAUUCCAAGAACACGCUGUAUCUGCAAAUGAACAGCCUGAAAUCUGAGGACUCGGCCGUGUAUUUCUGUGC
Molecule: non-coding RNA, 337 nt
Organism: Miniopterus natalensis
Lineage: Eukaryota; Metazoa; Chordata; Mammalia; Chiroptera; Miniopteridae
Source: RefSeq, a predicted model, not a curated record